RNAcentral lists this long non-coding RNA (1005 nucleotides) under Lathyrus oleraceus (garden pea). Its description in RNAcentral is "Pisum sativum (pea) long non-coding RNA (PSAT_LNC001091)". Lineage: Eukaryota; Viridiplantae; Streptophyta; Magnoliopsida; Fabales; Fabaceae. The record is from RNAcentral.
ACAAAUUCACAGUCAUAAGAAUCCAUUAUAAAGCAAUUCAAGGCUAUAAACUACACACAAAAAUUACAAGAUAAGCUAUAAGAUAACGAUAUUCUUAUAUCUAUUACCAAUUACAAACAUAUCAAUAAUGUAUCAACUUUUUUGGCAGUAGUCACUAUAUAUGUGACAUAUUCAUCCUCAUACUUAGCUCACUAUACUAUAUCAUAAUGAAAGAAAGUAAAUUAUACAUUAAUAUCAUCAUAGUUUUAAAUUGUAGUCUGCAAUAUGUUUAUAAUCAAGGAGAAGAUUUUGUUGAGGAAGUAGGGGGUGAGCCAGGGCUAUGAGGAGGUGGGAAUAGUGGAGGAAAAGGAAAUGGUAAAAUUGAUUUUGGUGGUGGCGGCGGCGGUGGUGAUGGAGUGAUACCUGGUACUACUAUUGGUGGAAAGAGAGAGAAAGGUGGUGGACUUGAUGGUGGAGGCUGAAAUGGAUUUGGAAGGAGUGGUGGAGGACUUGAAGGAGGAGGUUGAAAUGGAUUAGGUAGAAAUGGUGGUGGACUUGGUGGUUGAAAUGGAUUUGGAAUCAAAGGUGGACUAGGUGGUUGAAAAGGAUUAGGAAUCAAUGGUGGUGGUGUAAAAGGGUUAGGAAUCAAAGGUGGUUGAAAUGGAUUAGGAACCAAAGGUGGAUUCAAAGGGUUUGGAGGAAAAAAGAAAAAAUCUUCAACUUCAUUUUUCUUAGGGUUUUGAGUACUAUGCUUAUUUUGGUCACAAAAUUUUGGCUUUUUUAUUGGCUUGAAUGAGAAAAAUCCAGCUGAAAAAAUGUGUUCAUCUUGCAACUUUUUCUUUAGGGUUAGUGAAAAUGAAGUGGAAGUUGAAGCAAUAGCACAAUUUGGUUCAUUGCUACUUAACAACUUGAAGUUACACCCUUUGAUUCUCUUCACAUUUUUUCUCACUAAGAAAGGUAGCUUUACUUUGAAUUCUCCUUGUUCAUUAGUCUUCACUUCUUUGUAGAAUCUUUGUUUUGUUUUUC